Molecule: ribosomal RNA, 468 nt
Filed under: uncultured bacterium
Lineage: Bacteria
Description: partial 16S ribosomal RNA
Rfam family: Bacterial small subunit ribosomal RNA
Source: RNAcentral
GACGAACGCUGGCGGCGUGCUUAACGCAUGCAAGUCGAACGGAAAGGCCCUGUACUUGUGGGGUGCUCGAGUGGCGAACGGGUGAGUAACACGUGAGUAACCUGCCCUUGACUUUGGGAUAACUUCAGGAAAAUGGGGCUAAUAUCGGAUAUGAGCUCUUGCUGCACGGUGUGGGUUGGAAAGUUUCGGCGGUUUGGGAUGGAAUCGCGGCUUAGCAGCUUGUUGGUGGGGUAGUGGCUUACCAAGGCUUUGACGGGUAGCCGGCCUGAGAGGGUGACCGGGCACAAUGGGACUGGGGAGCGAGCCAGACGGCUACGGGAGGCAGCGGUGGAGAACAUUGCGCAAUAGGCGGAAGCCUGGUGGAACGACGCCGGGUGCGAGAUAACGGCCUUCGGGGUGUAAACCGCUUUCGCCUGUGACGAAGAGUGAGUGACGGUAAUUGGUAAAGAAGCACCGGCUAACUACGUG